RNAcentral lists this unclassified non-coding RNA (423 nucleotides) under Leucogenes leontopodium. Its description in RNAcentral is "partial external transcribed spacer". The record is from RNAcentral. Lineage: Eukaryota; Viridiplantae; Streptophyta; Magnoliopsida; Asterales; Asteraceae.
AAAGGUGCAUGAGUGGUGUUUGGUUUGUUACGGGUGGUUGGCUCUUUGCUUGUGCAACAACUUCCACCUGGCAUACCUCUUCAGUCUUGUGUCAAUGCUUAUGUUGCAUUGAAUGCACAGUGGGUUUCUUGUGUUGCAUGCCUUAAUUGAUGGUAUCGUUUGAUGAAUUGAUGUCUAUUUUCGUCUUGUGUCGCACAUGCGAUGUGAGAUGAACCUUAAUGCAACAUUUGUGAUCCACUCUUUUGAUGCACACGCAUUGAUUUUGUGGCCCAUUGAGUGUUGCUUGGUAUCAUGGAUAUGGAACCUUGUGUGGGCAUGGGAUCUUUUACUAGUUCCUUGUUUGCCCUAGUUAAGCUUUUCAAAUGCGAUUUCCUAUCAUGUCUUAACGUGGUAGGCUAGAUCGAAUAUGAAUGCUACCUGGUU